AGUGAACGCUGGCGGUAGGCCUAACACAUGCAAGUCGAACGGCAGCACAGGAGAGCUUGCUCUCUGGGUGGCGAGUGGCGGACGGGUGAGGAAUACAUCGGAAUCUACUUUUUCGUGGGGGAUAACGUAGGGAAACUUACGCUAAUACCGCAUACGACCUACGGGUGAAAGCAGGGGACCUUCGGGCCUUGCGCGAUUGAAUGAGCCGAUGUCGGAUUAGCUAGUUGGCGGGGUAAAGGCCCACCAAGGCGACGAUCCGUAGCUGGUCUGAGAGGAUGAUCAGCCACACUGGAACGGAGACACGGGCCAGACUACUAGGGGAGGCAGCAGUGGGGAAUAUGGGACAAUGGGCGCAAGCCUGAUCCAGCCAUACCGCGUGGGUGAAGAAGGCCUUCGGGUUGUAAAGCCCUUUUGUUGGGAAAGAAAUCCAGCUGGCCAAUACCCGGUUGGGAUGACGGUACCCAAAGAAUAAGCACCGGCUAACUUCGUGCCAGCAGCCGCCGUAA
This 506-nucleotide ribosomal RNA is filed under the name uncultured bacterium. RNAcentral's name for it is "partial 16S ribosomal RNA". It matches the Rfam family "Bacterial small subunit ribosomal RNA", at positions 29 to 523 of the family's 1533-position model. The record is from RNAcentral.